RNAcentral lists this unclassified non-coding RNA (276 nucleotides) under Hevea brasiliensis (rubber tree). The record is from RNAcentral. Lineage: Eukaryota; Viridiplantae; Streptophyta; Magnoliopsida; Malpighiales; Euphorbiaceae.
UUGCUUUUGAGGUUCUUAGCCUCUAUCAUUGCCGGCCUGCGGUUUCCCCUGCCCCAAUAGGGUAAGGGAGACUCUCAUUUAGGUGGAGUAGCGUGCAUAACUAAGUUUGCAUGUUCUUUUGUGGUGGAAUGGAGUAGAUUUGUGAGGGUUGAUUUACAUCCACUGUCGUUUGUUGUUUUGGUUGUUCUAGUUGUGGCGUGCAAGCUGUGCACCUCAAAAGGUAUUUGACCCUAUUGGAAUCGGCUUGCUGCUUGGACAGAGUGAAGAAGCAUUUGG